CAUUAUGGUAUCUAUGGUGGCAGAAAUAUUUGUUUUUAAUACCGUUACCAUAUAUUUCCUUUUAUUUAAGUUAUAAUCUGAUCGUGACGCAAAGAAUCAUUGGUUCAGGUGGAGGCAAGGGAUUUGGUGAAGGACUAUCCAUUAGACGAAAGUGAAAAUUCGGAGAAUCUGCACUUGAAACAGAUUCUGGUGUUCCAGUAGAACUCAACGAUCCAAAUAAAGGAC
Molecule: long non-coding RNA, 225 nt
Organism: Agrilus planipennis (emerald ash borer)
Lineage: Eukaryota; Metazoa; Arthropoda; Insecta; Coleoptera; Buprestidae
Exons: 2
Source: RefSeq, a predicted model, not a curated record